GUUCUCCCCGAAAUAGCUUUAGGGCUAGCCUCGGAAUUAGAGUCUUGGAGGUAGAGCACUGAUUGGGCUAGGGGCCCUCAUCGGGUUACCGAACUCAGUCAAACUCCGAAUGCCAAUGACUUAUGUCCGGGAGUCAGACGGUGAGUGCUAAGAUCCAUCGUCAAAAGGGAAACAGCCCAGACCAUCAGCUAAGGUCCCCAAGUAUACGUUAAGUGGGAAACGAUGUGGAGUUGCCCAGACAACCAGGAUGUUGGCUUAGAAGCAGCCACCAUUUAAAGAGUGCGUAAUAGCUCACUGGUCGAGUGACUCUGCGCGGAAAAUGUAACGGGGCUAAACGUAUCACCGAAGCUAUGGCAGUCCUUACGGACUGGGUAGGGGAGCGUUCCAAGCAGCAGUGAAGCCGUACUGGAAAGAGCGGUGGAGCGCUUGGAAGUGAGAAUGCCGGUGUAAGUAGCGAAAAGACAAGUGAGAAUCUUGUCCACCGAAAGCCUAAGGGUUCCUGGGGAAGGCUCGUCCUCCCAGGGUUAGUCGGGACCUAAGCUGAGGCCGAAAGGCGUAGGCGAUGGACAACAGGUUGAUAUUCCUGUACCACCUCUGUUCCGCUUGAGCAAUGGCGUGACGCAGGAGGAUAGGGUGAGCGGCCUACUGGAUGGCCGUCCAAGCAGCAAGCCUGGUGUGUAGGCAAAUCCGCACACCGUAAGGGCAAGCUGUGAUGGCGAGGGAAAUAUAAGUACCGAAGUCCCUGAUUUCACACUGCCAAGAAAAGCGUCUAGCGAGGAACAAGGUGCCCGUACCGCAAACCGACACAGGUAGGCGAGGAGAGAAUCCUAAGGUGCGCGGGAUAACUCUUGCUAAGGAACUCGGCAAAAUGGCCCCGUAACUUCGGGAGAAGGGGCGCCUCGGUAGGGUUAAUAGCCCGAGGGGGCCGCAGUGAAAAGGCCCAAGCGACUGUUUAGCAAAAACACAGGUCUCUGCGAAGCCGCAAGGCGAAGUAUAGGGGCUGACGCCUGCCCGGUGCUGGAAGGUUAAGGGGAUGGGUUAGCGCAAGCGAAGCUUUGAACCGAAGCCCCAGUAAACGGCGGCCGUAACUAUAACGGUCCUAAGGUAGCGAAAUUCCUUGUCGGGUAAGUUCCGACCCGCACGAAAGGCGUAACGACUUGGGCGCUGUCUCGGCAAGAGACCCGGUGAAAUCAUAAUACCUGUGAAGAUGCAGGUUACCCGCGACAAGACGGAAAGACCCCAUGGAGCUUUACUGUAGCCUGGUAUUGGAACUUUGUGCAUCAUGUACAGGAUAGGUGGGAAGCUGAGAAGCAGGGGCGCCAGCCUCUGUGGAGCUGUCGGUGGGAUACCACCCUUGAUGUACGGAGUUUCUAACUCGUCGCCCUUAUCGGGCGAGAGGACCAUGCCAGGUGGGCAGUUUGACUGGGGCGGUCGCCUCCCAAAAGGUAACGGAGGCGCCCAAAGGUUCCCUCAGAAUGGUCGGAAAUCAUUCGUAGAGUGUAAAGGCAGAAGGGAGCUUGACUGCGAGACCUACAAGUCGAGCAGGGACGAAAGUCGGGCUUAGUGAUCCGGUGGUUCCGCAUGGAAGGGCCAUCGCUCAACGGAUAAAAGCUACCCUGGGGAUAACAGGCUUAUCUCCCCCAAGAGUCCACAUCGACGGGGAGGUUUGGCACCUCGAUGUCGGCUCAUCGCAUCCUGGGGCUGAAGUAGGUCCCAAGGGUUGGGCUGUUCGCCCAUUAAAGCGGUACGCGAGCUGGGUUCAGAACGUCGUGAGACAGUUCGGUCCCUAUCUGUCGCGGGCGUAGGAAGUUUGAGGAGAGCUGUCCUUAGUACGAGAGGACCGGGAUGGACGCACCGCUGGUGCACCAGUUGUCACGCCAGUGGCACAGCUGGGUAGCUAUGUGCGGACGGGAUAAGCGCUGAAAGCAUCUAAGCGUGAAGCCCCCUCCAAGAUGAGACUUCCCACAGCGCAAGCUGGUAAGACCCCUCAUAGACGAUGAGGUUGAUAGGUUCGGUGUGGAAGCGUGGUAACACGUGGAGCUGACGAAUACUAAUCGGUCGAGGACUUAUCCACA
RNAcentral lists this ribosomal RNA (2075 nucleotides) under Brevibacillus nitrificans. RNAcentral describes it as "bacterial LSU rRNA". It matches the Rfam family "Bacterial large subunit ribosomal RNA", at positions 852 to 2925 of the family's 2925-position model. The record is from RNAcentral. Lineage: Bacteria; Bacillati; Bacillota; Bacilli; Caryophanales; Paenibacillaceae.